UGAUAUGAACCGUUAUAACCGGCGAUACCCGAAUGGGGAAACCCAGUGUGUUUCGACACACUAUCAUGUCAUGAAUACAUAGUGGCAUGAGGCGAACCGGGGGAACUGAAACAUCUAAGUACCCCGAGGAAAAGAAAUCAACCGAGAUUCCCCCAGUAGCGGCGAGCGAACGGGGAGGAGCCCAGAACCUGAAUCGGCUUGUGUGUUAGUGGAAGCGUCUGGAAAGUCGCGCAGCAAAGGGUGAUAGCCCCGUACACUAAAAUGCACAGGUCGUGAGUUCGAUGAGUAGGGCGGGACACGUGACAUCCUGUCUGAAUAUGGGGGGACCAUCCUCCAAGGCUAAAUACUCCUGACUGACCGAUAGUGAACCAGUACCGUGAGGGAAAGGCGAAAAGAACCCCGGCGAGGGGAGUGAAAUAGAACCUGAAACCGUGUACGUACAAGCAGUGGGAGCACCUUCGUGGUGUGACUGCGUACCUUUUGUAUAAUGGGUCAGCGACUUA
This 503-nucleotide ribosomal RNA is filed under the name Algoriphagus aestuariicola. Its description in RNAcentral is "partial 23S ribosomal RNA". It matches the Rfam family "Bacterial large subunit ribosomal RNA", at positions 87 to 630 of the family's 2925-position model. The record is from RNAcentral. Lineage: Bacteria; Pseudomonadati; Bacteroidota; Cytophagia; Cytophagales; Cyclobacteriaceae.